Solanum stenotomum is the source of this 278-nucleotide long non-coding RNA. RefSeq lists it as uncharacterized. The record is from RefSeq and is a predicted model, not a curated record. The transcript is spliced from 3 exons. Lineage: Eukaryota; Viridiplantae; Streptophyta; Magnoliopsida; Solanales; Solanaceae.
AAAAAGUGUACAAUAGCAAUUUUCCGUCGCCGGUUAUGAUUUAAAUACCUCUUGCCGUUCGCGGGUGAAAUAUUACUAUUUAGGGUUUUCCAAUUUCCAUUGCAGAUAUGAAUCGAGGUAGAGGUCGAGCUAGCGCAGGUCAUGCAGGCAAAUCCUCAGUUAGGAAACGCAAGAGACUUGCUGCUGAAAAGGGUCGAGAUCCAACACCAAGUGAGAAACAUUUGCGCGUCCAUACACAUGGUCAUGCUGGAAAAUCUUUUGUUGGUGAGCAAUCCCCA